This 235-nucleotide ribosomal RNA is filed under the name uncultured bacterium. RNAcentral describes it as "partial 16S ribosomal RNA". It matches the Rfam family "Bacterial small subunit ribosomal RNA", at positions 102 to 334 of the family's 1533-position model. The record is from RNAcentral.
CGACGGGUGAGUAACGCGCAUGCAACUUGCCUAUCAGAGGGGGAUAACCCGGCGAAAGUCGGACUAAUACCGCAUGAAGCAGGGGCCCCGCAUGGGGAUAUUUGCUAAAGAUUCAUCGCUGAUAGAUAGGCAUGCGUUCCAUUAGGCAGUUGGCGGGGUAACGGCCCACCAAACCGACGAUGGAUAGGGGUUCUGAGAGGAAGGUCCCCCACAUUGGUACUGAGACACGGACCAA